UCCGUAGGUGAACCUGUAAGUUAUCGCCAUUCACAAGUAUGAUAUCGAAUCAUUGCUAACUUUAUUCAGGCGGAGGGAUCAUUA
Molecule: ribosomal RNA, 84 nt
Filed under: Astrothelium siamense
Lineage: Eukaryota; Fungi; Ascomycota; Dothideomycetes; Trypetheliales; Trypetheliaceae
Description: partial 18S ribosomal RNA
Source: RNAcentral